This 67-nucleotide transfer RNA is filed under the name Spermophilus taurensis. RNAcentral's name for it is "tRNA-Lys". It matches the Rfam family "tRNA". From Rfam's summary of the family: Transfer RNA (tRNA) molecules are approximately 80 nucleotides in length. Their secondary structure includes four short double-helical elements and three loops (D, anti-codon, and T loops). Lineage: Eukaryota; Metazoa; Chordata; Mammalia; Rodentia; Sciuridae. The record is from RNAcentral.
CAUCAUGAAGCUAUAGAAGCAUCAACCUUUUAAGUUGAAGAUUAGGAACCAAAUCUCCUCAUGAUGA